RNAcentral lists this ribosomal RNA (389 nucleotides) under uncultured bacterium. RNAcentral's name for it is "bacterial SSU rRNA". It matches the Rfam family "Bacterial small subunit ribosomal RNA", at positions 29 to 418 of the family's 1533-position model. The record is from RNAcentral.
AUUGAACGCUGGCGGCAUGCCUUACACAUGCAAGUCGAACGGCAGCACGGGAGCAAUCCUGGUGGCGAGUGGCGAACGGGUGAGGUAAUAUAUCGGAACGUGCCCAGUCGUGGGGAUAACGUAGCGAAAGCCACGCUAAUACCGCAUACGAUCUACGGAUGAAAGCGGGGGAUCGCAAGACCUCGCGCGAUUGGAGCGGCCGAUAUCAGAUUAGGUAGUUGGUGAGGUAAAGGCGUCACCAAGCCGACGAUCUGUAGCUGGUCUGAGAGGACGACCAGCCACACUGGGACUGAGACACGGCCCAGACUCCUACGGGAGGCAGCAGUGGGGAAUUUUGGACAAUGGGCGCAAGCCUGAUCCAGCAAUGCCGCGUGCAGGAUGAAGGCCUU